RNAcentral lists this ribosomal RNA (443 nucleotides) under uncultured bacterium. Its description in RNAcentral is "partial 16S ribosomal RNA". It matches the Rfam family "Bacterial small subunit ribosomal RNA", at positions 338 to 795 of the family's 1533-position model. The record is from RNAcentral.
CCUACGGGAGGCAGCAGUGGGGAAUAUUGGGCAAUGGACGCAAGCCUGACCCAGCAACGCCGCGUGAAUGAAGACGGCUCUCGGGUUGUAAACUUCUUUUAUCAGGGACGAAGCAAGUGACGGUACCUGAUGAAUAAGCCACGGCUAACUACGUGCCACCAGCCGCGGUAAUACGUAGGUGGCAAGCGUUAUCCGGAUUUACUGGGGGUAAAGGGCGUGUAGGCGGGAAAGCAAGUCAGAUGUGAAAACCAUGGGCUCAACCUGUGGACUGCAUUUGAAACUGUUUUUCUUGAGUGCUGGAGAGGCAGACGGAAGUCCUAGUGUAGCGGUGAAAUGCGUAGAUAUUAGGAGGAACACCAGUGGCGAAGGCGGUCUGCUGGACAGCAACUGACGCUGAGGCGCGAAAGCGUGGGGAGCAAACAGGAUUAGAUACCCUUGUAGUC